GUGAGUCAUCGAAUCUUUGAACGCACAUUGCGCCCCUUGGUAUUCCAUGGGGCAUGCCUGUUCGAGCGUCAUCUACACCCUCAAGCUCUGCUUGGUGUUGGGCGUCUGUCCCCGCCUCCGCGCGCGGACUCGCCCCAAAUCCAUUGGCGGCAGCCUUCGCCCCUUCCCGCGCAGCACAUUGCGCUUCUCGAGGGCGGCCCCAGGCCUGCGACCCACCAAGAUGACCAACCUUUGACCUCGGAUCAGGUAGGGAUACCCGCUGAACUUAAGCAUAUCAAUAAGCGGAGGA
RNAcentral lists this unclassified non-coding RNA (289 nucleotides) under Camarosporium sp. RNAcentral describes it as "partial contains 5.8S ribosomal RNA, internal transcribed spacer 2, and large subunit ribosomal RNA". The stretch from base 1 to 71 matches the Rfam family "5.8S ribosomal RNA", at positions 84 to 154 of the family's 154-position model. Lineage: Eukaryota; Fungi; Ascomycota; Dothideomycetes; Pleosporales. The record is from RNAcentral.